AGUAUUGGACAAUGGGGGCAACCCUGAUCCAGCCAUGCCGCGUGUGUGAAGAAGGUCUUCGGAUUNUCAAGCACUUUAAGUUGGGANGAAGGGCUUUAGGUUAAUACCCUGAAGUUUUGACGUUACCAACAGAAUAAGCACCGGCUAACUCUGUGCCAGCAGCCGCGGUAAUACAGAGGGUGCAAGCGUUAAUCGGAAUUACUGGGCGUAAAGCGCGCGUAGGUGGUUCAGUAAGAUGGGUGUGAAAUCCCCGGGCUUAAUCUGGGAACUGCUUUCAUAUAUGAUGAGAUAGAGUACGGUAGAGGGUAGUGGAAUUUCCUGUGUAGCGGUGAAAUGCGUAGAUAUAGGAAGGAACACCAGUGGCGAAGGCGACUACCUGGACUGAUACUGACACUGAGGUGCGAAAGCGUGGGGAGCAAAC
Molecule: ribosomal RNA, 421 nt
Filed under: uncultured bacterium
Lineage: Bacteria
Description: partial 16S ribosomal RNA
Rfam family: Bacterial small subunit ribosomal RNA
Source: RNAcentral